UUUGAAAGUAAAUCCCCUAUUUCCUCCGUCGAUUUCUUCAAAGUGGUUUUUUUAUCUCUAGGACUAGAGAAAAAGAAAAUUUUGAUGGCUGAAAUACAGUCGAAACUGAAUCAAGAGCCAUGUUCCUCUUCUACACGAUUGGUGAAAUUAAAUCAAGUACCAUGCUCCUCUUUUACUGCAGUUCCCGCUGCACCAAAUAAACCUCCUGAAGCUUGUGGGAUAAAAACAAAAACGAAACAUGACGGUCCCGAUUGUAAACUUUUCGACCUUAUUGUUUCAUUGUCACUCAUCCUUAUUGUUUCAGUUUAUAAAUUUGUCAAAGGUCUUACGUUGUAUUGUGCGCGACAGAUAUCUUGCAAAUCUUGCACAAUUAUUUUCCAUGGGAAACAAUUGAUGAUAUAGAUAGGGCUGAACGCCAUUAUUACCGUGUGUUAUAUGAACGAAGGGAUCCAAAGAUUGAUGAUAUACAUGCAGAUAUGGCAAAGCUGAAGAGAUGUUUGUUAUGCAAACCAAAAGAGAGCUGCUCAACCUUAGGAUGAAUUUCUCACAGCCCGUCUUGGUAGAACUUGUUGAUCCAUCCUAUGAAGAUUUGACAACGGGUUUUGAGAAAUUCACGAUUAAACAAGCUCUGAAACAAAAAAAAAAAAAACAAGCUCUGAAACAAAACCAUGAGAACGGACAGAUUCAAACUCCACAACAGUCUCUUUGCAGUCAUCUUGAGGUGAUGCGUAGAAAACUACAAAAUAUGGAUAAUGAUGCUUUUUCAAAAGCGGGCAUGCGGAUGGUUAGUGUUGAGCAUUUACUUUGGAGGGCGAACCGCAUAAUUAAAGCCUUAGAAUCAAUCGAAAACAAGUUCAGAUUUUUGAUUAUGGUGAAGGACUUGGAAGCCCCUCGCAAGAAGUCACGUAUGAGCAACUCAGCAGCUUGAUCGAACAAAGAACACAUUUGGUUAUAAAUAGGAGCCUAUGAUUCCAUUCAUCAGUGGAAAGGGGAGCUCACGUACUCAUCAGCAUAUUGGGCCUGUGAAUUGAGCCGCAUAGACUAAUAUUUGCUUUUAGACCUUGUAUUACUGUUGGGCUUAAUUUGUUAGAAUAAGAAUGAGUAGUUAGGUUAUUUCCUAGAGUUCUGAGUCUGUAUUUGAUGUAAUCCUGUUUGUAGGAUUAAGUUAAACAGGAGUGGGUGUUUAAAGACCAAUCAUUGUGUAAGAAAGAACUUA
This is an RNA transcript of Papaver somniferum (opium poppy), 1216 nucleotides long. RefSeq lists it as uncharacterized. The transcript is spliced from 5 exons. NCBI's taxonomy places the organism in Eukaryota, Viridiplantae, Streptophyta, Magnoliopsida, Ranunculales, Papaveraceae. The record is from RefSeq and is a predicted model, not a curated record.